CAGUCGCCACGGUAAUACGAAGGGUGCAAGCGUUACUCGGAAUUACUGGGCGUAAAGCGUGCGUAGGUGGUGGUUUAAGUCCGUUGUGAAAGCCCUGGGCUCAACCUGGGUAUUGCAGUGGAUACUGGAUCACUAGAGUGUGGUAGAGGAUAGUGGAAUUUCCGGUGUAGCAGUGAAAUGCGUAGAGAUCGGAAGGAACAUCUGUGGCGAAGGCGACUAUCUGGGCCAACACUGACACUGAGGCACGAAAGCGUGGGGAGCAUACAGGAUUAGAUACCCCAGUAGUCCCUGUCUCUUAUAC
Molecule: ribosomal RNA, 301 nt
Filed under: uncultured bacterium
Lineage: Bacteria
Description: partial 16S ribosomal RNA
Rfam family: Bacterial small subunit ribosomal RNA
Source: RNAcentral